CGAGCAUGUGCAUGAUAAAAAAUAAAUAAACUUUUAGAGUCGGCUGUACCAAGUGUGUUGAAGUUUAUACUUUUAACCAACACUGUACAGCCGGCUCAGUUGUUUACAUUUAAACUACUACAAGCAAUGUUGCCAAGUCUAGAGACCUGUUGCUGCUCCUUGGUUGCUGGUUUGGCUCGGUUGAUGUGUUGCUUGUUCACCAGAUCGACUACGCCGGCAAAGAUCGGUCAUUAAUUAAAUUUCAUCAAACAACGACGUCAUCAAUGUAUGAAUUUCCGUGGAACUUUUUAGGUAGAUUUUUAUAGAAAUCUAACUAUUGUAGCCGGUCUCAUGUUGUCAUUUUAGGAAAAUUUUAUCAUAAUAUGUUUGGCAUUGGCUCAAAAGUUUAUAUAUGUAUUUAUGUAUGCAUAUAACGCGCGAUGUCAGCAGGAUUGCGUCCAUAGUUCUCAACCGAUCUUUAUGAAAUUUUGUGGGCUUAUUCUGUGGAUCAAUACCAAGAUCAAGUUCGAAGAUGAGCAAAAUCGGCUGGUUAGUUUACGAGUUGUGGGAGUUUGAAAAUUUUUUUCAUUUUCAAAAAAUUUUGAAUUUUGUAUUUUUUAUGAAAAUAAUCUUCUAGAUGUAAAAGAUAGAUAAAGUCUAUCAAAUUUAU
Cotesia glomerata is the source of this 649-nucleotide long non-coding RNA. RefSeq lists it as uncharacterized. The record is from RefSeq and is a predicted model, not a curated record. NCBI's taxonomy places the organism in Eukaryota, Metazoa, Arthropoda, Insecta, Hymenoptera, Braconidae. The transcript is spliced from 2 exons.